AAAUUGAAGAGUUUGAUCAUGGCUCAGAUUGAACGCUGGCGGCAGGCCUAACACAUGCAAGUCGAACGGUAACAGGAAGAAGCUUGCUUCUUUGCUG
This 97-nucleotide ribosomal RNA is filed under the name Escherichia coli. RNAcentral's name for it is "partial 16S ribosomal RNA". It matches the Rfam family "Bacterial small subunit ribosomal RNA", at positions 1 to 93 of the family's 1533-position model. Lineage: Bacteria; Pseudomonadati; Pseudomonadota; Gammaproteobacteria; Enterobacterales; Enterobacteriaceae. The record is from RNAcentral.